AAACCAGCACCUCAAGUGGUCAGGAUGAUUAUUGGGCCUAAAGCAUCCGUAGCCUGUUCUGUAAGUUUUCGGUUAAAUCUGUAUGCUCAACAUACAGGCUGCCGGGAAUACUGCAGGACUAGGGAGUGGGAGAGGUAGACGGUACUCGGGAGGAAGUGGUAAAAUGCUUUGAUCUCUCGAUGACCACCUGUGGCGAAGGCGGUCUACCAGAACACGUCCGACGGUGAGGGAUGAAAGCUGGGGGAGCAAACCGGAUUAGAAACCCCGGUAGUCC
RNAcentral lists this ribosomal RNA (274 nucleotides) under uncultured bacterium. RNAcentral describes it as "partial 16S ribosomal RNA". It matches the Rfam family "Archaeal small subunit ribosomal RNA", at positions 473 to 747 of the family's 1478-position model. The record is from RNAcentral.